UCCGUAGGCGGGUCAUUAAGUCAGAGGUGAAAUCCCACAGCUUAACUGUGGAAUUGCCUUAGAUACUGGUGAUCUUGAGUUUUAGUGAAGUAGAUAGAAUGUGUAGUGUAGCGGUGAAAUGCAUAGAUAUUACACAGAAUACCGAUUGCGAAGGCAGUCUACUAACUAACAACUGACGCUAAUGGACGAAAGCGUGGGGAGCGAACAGGAUUAGAUACCCUGGUAGUCC
RNAcentral lists this ribosomal RNA (229 nucleotides) under uncultured bacterium. RNAcentral describes it as "partial 16S ribosomal RNA". It matches the Rfam family "Bacterial small subunit ribosomal RNA", at positions 568 to 796 of the family's 1533-position model. The record is from RNAcentral.